This 259-nucleotide RNase MRP RNA is filed under the name Stegodyphus mimosarum. Its description in RNAcentral is "rNase MRP". It matches the Rfam family "RNase MRP". Rfam says of the family: RNase MRP is an enzymatically active ribonucleoprotein with two distinct roles in eukaryotes. In mitochondria it plays a direct role in the initiation of mitochondrial DNA replication. Lineage: Eukaryota; Metazoa; Arthropoda; Arachnida; Araneae; Eresidae. The record is from Rfam by way of RNAcentral.
AGAUUCGCUUUAGGCUUGCUUUCGGAGCUACGAACGAGUCCGCGUGACUCAAUCGCUCUGGGGAAAGUCCCCGGACACACCGGCAUUACGUGCCGCAUGGAAUACCAUGUCGUCCUUCUCUCGAUCCAACCCAAACUUUGAAGGCGUUUGCCCGAGUGGGUCAGAUCUUUAUUGGGAGGAGGAACUUGUCUAAGUAUAAAAUAGUUAUGCAAGCGAGGCAUUGCUGUCUUAACUCAAUGGGGCUUACUCAAAGCGGAUC